ACGUAUGGUGCAAGCGUUGUCCGGAAUUACUGGGCGUAAAGAGUUCGUAGGCGGUUAAAUCAGUCAGAAGUGAAAGGCUACGGCUCAACCGUAGUAAGCUUUUGAAACUGUUUAACUUGAGUAUUGGAGAGGAAAGUGGAAUUCCUAGUGUAGCGGUGAAAUGCGUAGAUAUUAGGAGGAACACCAGUGGCGAAGGCGACUUUCUGGACAAUUACUGACGCUGAGGAACGAAAGCGUGGGGAGCAAACAGG
RNAcentral lists this ribosomal RNA (251 nucleotides) under uncultured bacterium. Its description in RNAcentral is "partial 16S ribosomal RNA". It matches the Rfam family "Bacterial small subunit ribosomal RNA", at positions 525 to 776 of the family's 1533-position model. The record is from RNAcentral.